CUUUUUCUUGUCACAGCAUCUGAGAUCCAGCAGCAUUUUGGGUAGUGAGCCUUUACUGUAGCAAUUACCGCAGGGAAUUAUAAUAUUUGUUUAUUCUUCAUUCCCACCUCCGCCCUUACUCUGCACACUGAAACUUCCGGUCGGUCUGGACUGUUUACCUUUGUACCCGCGGAGGAGCUGCUCUGCCGCUGAGACGCAGUCAGAAGCCAGUAAUAAAUGGCCCCAGAGACAUUCCUGGAUCCAGGCUAUACUGUCAGGACAGCCGUGCUCCUAGCAUAGUCAGGCACUGAACAGACUGGGAGAGCACCGGGGAGCUGCACUUGUUCGCUGGCCCAGUUAUACGCAUCUUUGGCAGUGGGAUGAAGGUGACUGACCCCGGAAUAAAUAGAGACGCGGUCACACAGCGCAGUGAGCAAGCCCAUAUAUGCUGACGGAUCCAGGACACAAUACCACGAGGACCUAGCUACACAGGGUCCACACUGGAGGAGACAACCAAGACACUGCCAGAAUCUGCUUGUGCAGGAAAAAAAAGAAAAAAAUCUGACCUGGGCUUUAAAUUUGGACUUACAAGCUUUAACCUUGAGAAAGUCAUGUAUCUUUCUGGGUCUCAGCUUCCUUAUCUGUAAAAUGGGCUCCAUGUUAGUACUUGUGUCAUUGCAUGUUGUGGGGACCUCAGCUUCCCUUUGCUGGAACAGGAAGGCAUCUACAGAGGGGAAGAGGACUGGGAAGUUCAUCAGAUUGAGGUGGACAGUGAGGCACAGCAGGGGCAGCCAGACCGUGCGGUGCCAGGGCCUCUCCCCUCCAGAGGGCGUGGCUCCUCUUGGAUCUCCGCAUCCCAGCCCGCUGACCCAGCGCCUGGCUGGCAGCCCUGGAGGCAUGGGCCCAGCUGGUGGCAGGAGCCCUGGACAGGGGAAGGAGCAACUGGGAAACCCAUG
RNAcentral lists this long non-coding RNA (935 nucleotides) under Heterocephalus glaber (naked mole-rat). RNAcentral's name for it is "lncRNA (ENSHGLG00100028534.2)". The record is from RNAcentral. Lineage: Eukaryota; Metazoa; Chordata; Mammalia; Rodentia; Bathyergidae.